UACGUAGGUGGCAAGCGUUGUCCGGAUUUACUGGGCGUAAAGGGCGCGUAGGCGGGCCUCCAAGUCCGGGGUGAAAUCCUCCAGCCUAACUGGAGAAGAGCCUCGGAGACUGGGGGCCUCGAGGAGGGUAGGGGCAAGCGGAACUAUGGGUGGAGCGGUGAAAUGCAUUGAUAUCCAUAGGAACUCCGGUGGCGAAGGCGGCUUGCUGGACCCUUUCUGACGCUGAGGCGCGAAAGCCAGGGGAGCAUACGGG
This 253-nucleotide ribosomal RNA is filed under the name uncultured bacterium. RNAcentral's name for it is "partial 16S ribosomal RNA". It matches the Rfam family "Bacterial small subunit ribosomal RNA", at positions 524 to 776 of the family's 1533-position model. The record is from RNAcentral.